RNAcentral lists this unclassified non-coding RNA (329 nucleotides) under soil metagenome. RNAcentral describes it as "partial contains 5.8S ribosomal RNA, internal transcribed spacer 2, and large subunit ribosomal RNA". The stretch from base 1 to 120 matches the Rfam family "5.8S ribosomal RNA", at positions 35 to 154 of the family's 154-position model. The record is from RNAcentral.
GAUGAAGAACGUAGCGAAAUGCGAUAAGUAAUGUGAAUUGCAGAAUUCAGUGAAUCAUCGAAUCUUUGAACGCACAUUGCGCCGCUUGGUAUUCCGAGGGGCAUGCCUGUUCGAGCGUCAUUAUAACCCCUCAAGCUCAGCUUGGUGUUGGGGCCUGCUGCACUGGCAGCCCUUAAAAUCAGUGGCGGCGCCAUCUGGCUCUAAGCGUAGUAAUUCUUCUCGCUAUGGAGUCCUGGUGGAUGCUUGCCAUCAACCCCCAAUUUUUCUAUGGUUGACCUCGGAUCAGGUAGGGAUACCCGCUGAACUUAAGCAUAUCAAUAAGCGGAGGA